Molecule: long non-coding RNA, 17410 nt
Organism: Alligator mississippiensis (American alligator)
Lineage: Eukaryota; Metazoa; Chordata; Crocodylia; Alligatoridae
Exons: 5
Source: RefSeq, a predicted model, not a curated record
CCCCAGCCUUCCAAUCUCUGCCCUGCCAAGCCCCACCCCCCUGCUAAUCCCCCCACCUCCUAAGGCCUCAAUCACUUUCCUGCCAAGCCCCUCACCCCUCCUGUCCCCUGACCCCACUGAUCACUUUCCUACCCACCCCCAACUCCCCAUCGCUUUCCUGCUUAGCCCCACCCGCUGCCUGCACUCCCAACCCCUCUGAUCCCUGCCCCCCCCCCAGCAUCCCCAUAGUUUAAAAAACAGACAAACAACCAACCCAGCACUUACCAGCAGUCUGGCUGCUGUGUGUCUCAGCGGGGCCCUGCCUGCACAGCAUGGGGCAAAUGGGCAGCCCCAGCAGCCCCAGCCUGGGCCCUCCUGCCCCCCACUGCCCUGUACUGCCCAGGGGACUCUGCCAGGGGGCCCCGGAGCCCCCUCACCUCUGCUUCUAGGACACAUUUACGCCUCAGGAGUUCAGAUAACAUCCUGUCCUUGGAACCACGCUGCAAGCAUGGAGAAAGGAUGCAUGAGAGAGAGGAUGUCAGAGAAAUGUUGACAACUGGAGACUUUUUCCCUGUGACAUAACUCUACUGAACCUAAACAGCUCCAAGUGCAAUUUAAGCUCCCUUCUAAGAUUUCUGUGUGUGCAAGUCAGACAUUUCUUAGACCUUAUUACAGAAAUAUCCACAAAUGGGGAUGAAUUUCUUGAAGGCAGCACAUAGCAGCCUAAGCUUGGAGGCGUAAUGUAAAUUUUCCAAGACACAUAGCGCCUAUUCCCGGGAGCAUACUUGCAAGGGAACACCUGAGUAAUACUCCCUUGAUGCAGUGAGAGACGCACCUAAGACCCUCAAGAUAAGGAUGACAAGAGUGAACCAACUGCCCUAGGUCUCAUUUACAUCCGAGAUGGAACCAGAUGACCAUUCAUUUACAUGAGAGAUGGAGAACAGAAAGCCUGAAGCAGAGACUGCAGUGAAUUCUGGGACCAGAGAAUCAGGGGAGCACUGCAUGAUCGGGAACCUGUGCUUCAAAUGUUAAUCAACCCAUGUUCACACACACCCAGCUCAGCAUUUAUCAAACCAGUUCUAAUCUGGAUUUACUAAGGACUUUUCCCCCCCCAGACACACACACACAGCUCUAAGUUUAAUAGGCAUCUCGGGCCGUACAUUCCCCGGUCCCACUAUGGGAGGCCUAUGUAAACUUGAUUGACUAAAACAUGGUUGCCAGGUUAGGGAAUGCUGAGGCAAGAGACCGAGUCAGAGGGGGUAUGGGCAACAUUGGAACAAUGGUUAAGGGUUCAUCACAGCAUCCAGCCUGCUGGAGCCCUAAUCACAGGUGUUGUCAUACUUUUCCCGAGAUGACUGGUGGGAGUCCUCUCCACAAAAGGUUAUGAGCACACCAAUAAUUGUCUUAAGUCUGUUAAAAGACUAUAGUAAAAUCUGGAAAAGUCAUGCUAAGCUGAGGCUUGUGCACAACAAGUAAAAAUCCAAAACCCUGAUGCUGCAAGCUAUCUAUUGUUCCUGAAGAAACCAUGAGAUAUCCCAUCAGUAUAUCUGCCAUCCAUAGGAAUCUCAAGCUGGCUCCCAAGUAUUUGGGUUACUCCCUAAUCUUAAGUGUUUCCUGAUUAUCAAUCAGUUUCUUGAGAUGUUCCAAACCAGAUAACCCCUUGUCAAUAGAAAAGACAAUGAUUUACACUACUGAGGGUGCUUCGAAGCAGCUGAACUGAGGGUAUAAAAAUCUGUAAAAAGUGUGUGUGCUUCAAGAAGAAGAAGAAGAAGAAGGAAAGAAGGAGAGGAAAAGGAAAGAAGAAGAAAACUCCUGUGCUGACAACAUCCCCUGUCGUUCUUGGGACGCUGGAAGAACAGAUCGUCUCUCUCUUCAAGGAUUGUGCUACAGACUGUGCCUGUCAGCUUUGCAGCCUGAGUACCAUGGACUAGGUGAGAUCCCAGCACUCGCUCACUCUCUCUCUUCUCUCUAGGCAUAAAAUUCUGAACCUGAACUGUAUUAGUUAAGCUUGAGCUAAGUUUCCCCAAAUACUUAGUGAAACCAGGGUAGUAUUGUCAUUGUUUGUGUUUGUUUUUCUUUUGCAUGUCUAUUACUACUAGUACCAUUAUAUAUUUCAUAUGCUUAGCAAUAAAUAACUUUUGUAGUCAAACUGGUAGUAAUUGGGUAUAUUUUUCCUUCUCUGCUUCUCUUUCCUCCCGUGCUCUGCAGCAAUGCUUCUUUUACAUAUGCUAAAGAUCCCUGUGAAGCCCAAAUUAUUGUGGGGUUUGCUCAUCAAGAGGCCAAAGAUUGGGACGUGUUGAGUUUGAAACACAUAAGGGGAUCAGCUUGUACAGGCUGAUUGACCCAGUUUGACUCAGAUGUGCCCUUAUGAACUGAGUGCUGGCCCAUGAGUGUGUCAGCUGGACACCCAGCCAGAUUCAGAGGGAUUCUGUUUACCUGUGUGCUUGUGUCUGACUGCAUUUUAUUGUUGCUCUUAUGAACUGAUUCUUGGCAUAUGAGGGUGUCAGCCUGUCCAUACUGAUCAGCCCGGCCAGGUCAGGUGUGUCACGUUAAUUUGUGUGUGUUUGUGUGUAUGACUGAUUUGGUGGCUGGAGGAACCCAGUCCCAUUGAGAUUGAGUCCUGCAAGAUAGCUCCACUGGGGGUGAGAGCUUGCAGAAGGGAGAAAUACAGCUCCGUAUAGUAACACAAGCAGCACGUUGACAGAAUCACCAACACCCUAGAAACUAUCCCUAAUAAAUGAGCACACCCCAAAGUAAUGGGCAAAUUUGGUAACAGCUGCUUUAGGUAGCACUAUCCUUCCGUCCGGCAAUCGCCAUAUUCUAUUUUUUUUAACUAUUUUAUUUCACGAAAGAUUAGGUACAGAAAGUAAAAAAACUAUUAAUCUCACUAAAGAGAAACUAUUCCAGGACAUUCGGAACUUCACACCGUGACAAACACUUUCGCAGUAAUACACAUCAUGUCUAACAUUCCAUAUAGCUCUUGAGAAACGAGCAGUUCUACUCUUCCCUGUCUCAUAGUACACGUGCAAAAACUUUCGGCAUUUCACUCCGAGAAAAAACAAAAGCAGCCUGUUGAGGGCCCAGGGCACGGCACAAGCUGGAAGCCACAGUCCGCUACUGCGCUUAACUGCUCAGGCAGUGGUUCAGCUUCAAGUACUUCAAAUGGAGUUACUACUGCAUAACUCAUUUUUCUAACUCCGUUGACUAUUUUUGAAGAGCUAUUUACAUAAAAAAUUAAGUCAGGGUUAUCUAAGGGUAAGUCACUGAGAUCUGCCCUGGGUUUGUUUGUAAAUAUUGCAACUUGAAGGCAAUCAUGAGAGUUUGGUUCCCCAUCGCUGGGUAGAGGUAAUAGAGUAGCCGGAUUCAGGGUAUUGCAUCUCUCUCUCACUAGGUUUGUGGUCAUUAAAAGUGUGGUUUCAUACUUGUUCAUUCUCUGAUGAGAAAAAUGUUCAGUAUUUUUCUGGAGGAGGAGGAGGGCUACUGCGUGUGGAGCCUUUAGGAUAAGGGGGUACCCGAGGACUAAUUCCUGGGCUUUCUCGACUAUUGUUGCAGCUGCUGCCACUGCGCGAAGGCAGCCUACUCCCCCCUUUGCCACUGGAUCUAAUUGUGCAGAGAAGUAAGCUACCGGGCGUUGGGUGGUGUCUAAGGGUUGAGUAAGUACCCCAGAGGCUACUCUUAGUUGCUCAUGGACAAAGAGCGUGAAAGGUUUUCAAUAAUCUGGUAGCCCUAGAGCAGGGGCAGAAGUUAAAGUGGAUUUUAUAUUACUGAAGCUGCAGGCAGCUUCAUGAUCUCAAAAGACUGGUUCUUCUGCAACUUUUGUGGUAAGCUGCACAAGAGGCUUGGUUACUAUUCUUAAGUAUUUAACAGUGGAUUUACAGAACUGAAGCUUGCUUGGUGACACCUUGUGGCCUUUGGCAGCUAGUGCAGUGCUUAACGUACACUCUCUUUUUCAGUGUUCUCCCUGUUUACAGUAAUGGCCCAUACGGUUGGUGGGUAUGGUCCGGUGGCCUAGGCACAAAGGGCCUCGGGCCAUGGGGCAGAUUGGUUCUAUAGGGAUUUGGCAUCUGAAUUACCGCUGCCAACAUGUGAAUGUUGGACUGGUCUUCCUUUUGUUUUUCUUUCUUCUUUUUUUCUUCCCUUCCAUUAAAAGUUUUAGUAGCAAUGGCUAAGAUUUCUGCCAUGGAUUUACCCUCAACACCCUCAGUGUUAUGUUGGAGCUUCUUUCUAAUAUCUUCGCUAGCCUGACUUAUGAAUACAAGUCUUAACACAGGCAAAGUGGCAGGUGUCUCAGGGUCCAUGUUUCCAUACUGGCGUAUAGCUUUACAGAGUCUUUCAAAGUAGUCUGAAGGGUGUUCUUCUGGACCCUGAACAGUAGCUGUCACUUUGGACCAGUUUGUAGUUUUAUCUCCUGCCUUUUUUAGUUCUUCUUAGCAUACAUAUUGCAUUCUGUCCCUCUUCCUUUCUAUAAUUCUAAUUUGGAUCUUGCCUAGGUACACCAUUAGGCAUGGAGUGGUUUUGAUGCUGCUGAUCGGCUAGAAAUUGGUCAGUGUGGCGUAGUACUUGGGUCUUCUCAUCUGAAGUUAAGAGGCUUUCGAGAAGCUGCAUGACAUCUGACCAGGAGGGGUUAUGAGUCAUGAAAAUGGUUUUGAAGCGCCUUAGAACUACUUCAGGAUCAUUUCUGAGCCUGGGGGUGUUUUCUUGCCAGUUUAAGAGGUCGGUGAUGGAGAACGGAGCAUGUGUCCAGUGACUGAUAACUUCUCUACUCUUGCCAGAAGGAGCCAGAAGGCUAGGGGCAGGUACUCGUUGUCGGGUACGAUUAGCUAUGGGAGUCGGAUCAGUGUUCGGGGAGGUUGAGUCUGGAGAGGGAUGCCUUGAUCCAUCUACAGGCUCAGGACUUGGGCGGUCGCCGGGAGGCAAUCGGGGUGAUGCCUCCCCACGAUUUCCCGAGUCCCCUGCCAGCAUGGGAAUGAACGGAUCAGGUUGGGCAUGGGUUUAUAAUCAUCAUCUGAAUAUAAAGGUGGUGCGGAAGGUUUUGGACAUUGAAGGGGAGCUAACAAAUUCGGGAAAGGUACAGGGGUCAGGGUGGCUAAAAGCUUUGAUCGCUUACUAGCAACAUUGUCUCAUAAAUACCAAUAAUUCAUUAGGCCAAGGUGGAGGUCCUUCAAGAUCUUUCGUAAGGCAGCCAGGCGAUUUGGGUCAAAUGGUCCAUUUUCUGGCCAUUGUCUUCUCAAAUCUAACUGAGACGUAUAAGACGUCUAAUUAAUUAAACAGAGUUCUGCCAUACAAGACUUGGACAGUUCUGCCCGUACCUCCAAAUGUUUCCAAUUCCUGAUCAUAUAAUCAAGGGGUGAAUAUCCUAGGCCAGAACCCAUGAUUAUUUCCAAGUAUAAGCAGCCUUAUUCCCUAAGUUCUACCUGCCUAGAAGCUGUUUCAUCCACGUACAACAACCGGUGUUCUCAGACCCCGCUGGCUUUCUCCGUGAGGAGGGGCGUCUUGAGUCCGAGACCCUAGUCAUUGACCAUUAUAACAGCAUUUCUACCUUAUAUCCGUGUCUUUCGCCUUUCGGCCAGGCUGCCGCUCUAACAGCUUUUAAAGCGGCAGACGGAUACCCUCAAAGACUGCUUCCAGAGACCUCUAGAGGUUAAACCAGAAACCCAGAAAGUAGACAGAAACCAAAAACAUACCUGACCUGAGGUACUCGCUGGUACUGUUCCUUUACCCGAUUUGAGGAUCCCACCUUAUUGGUCCCGAGGGGACCGUCCACCUCCCGAGACUGACACAAAUAGAUGAACUCACCUGGUGUGCACUGGGGUGUCAGGGGGUGGAGGUCUCCAAAGUCUUCAAGCUAGAUGGGUCCCAUCUGGGUCGCCAAAUUGUCGUGGGGGAAAACUCCCUGGAAUUCGUUGUCUAGCUGCAUAGGAACCAGGCAACACGGGUAAAGGCUUUAUUGCAGUAUAUUUGCUCGAGCAAUGACCAUAAGCCUGCAAAGAGGCAAAAUGGCCCCCCCCCCCCAAAGGGUGGGGCGUUCUUUUAUACUUUUUACAAUAAGGCAAGACUACAGGGUUAACAAAAGCAAUACUUGGGCAGUGCUUCACAAAUCCUCAUAACAGCAUAUUUCUGUUAAGCUGAACUAGCACUUUUCUAAAAGCUGAAGAAGUUAAGUAACAGUAACAUUAUGAUACCUUAGCAAAAACUUGCACAGUAGUAGAUAUUUCUUAAGGACACGAUCAUUGUACUUAGAACAAUGGCUUCUUUGUGUUAUCUUGUUCCUUGCUGUAUCUGGUUUACAGCACACAGACUUAUACAAAUUCACUUGCUGCAUUUUACUCAGAAAAUGGUUAACACAGUUAAAAUAAUUACUUAACAUAAGCUAAUGGCUGGCUUAGCUAUUAUUCUGCUUUGUGGUCAGCAGCAUUGCUAGGCCACAGGUCAUGCCUUAUAUUCAGCUGCAAAUCUAAUACUUCUCAAUAAUCUAAAUUAUUGCUAACCUAACAGUAUGCUAUCAGAAAACUAUUUUAUUUCAGGGUAAUAACAAACUUGCCCACCACACCAAGAACUCAGUCCAUUAGCUAUUCUGAAUUAAUUCUUCAGGAGUACAUGACAGAAGUAAGUACCCCCUCUUCCUCUCUCACAUAAACACACAUACACACACAUAGGCUGUGUGCAUAUAUUCUGAACACACCAUUGCUUUUUACUGACUAGUAUAAGAAAUGUACAGAUCAGCCAAAAAUAAAACCUUCACAGAUUUCCCUGCUACUUACAAGCAUUUCUUACUCUGGAAUCAGGUCCCAUGGUGUGAUCCAGUAUCCUUCUAUGUAGCUCUUGGCUUGUUUGCUUUGACCGUGGGAGGUUUCUGCACCUCCUUCUCUGAAAAGCUGCUCACUACUUCCUUUUGCCUGUCCCAAUUGUUCCAUAUAUUUUUGUGAUCCCUUCCCUUCCUUUGUGACCUGUGUCCCUUUGUCUUGUUUGGGGAAUUUUCACUUCAUAGAAUCAUAGAAAAUUAGGGUUGGAAAGAACCCCAGGAUGUCAUCUAGUCCAACCUCCAGCUACCAAAGCAGGAACAUCACCAACUAAAUCAUCCCAGCCAAGGCGUUGUUUAGCCAGGUCUUAAAAACUUCUAAGGAUGGAGAGUCCACAGCCUCCUUGUGUAGCCUGUACCAGUGCCUUACUACCCUCCCAGUAAAAAAGUUUUUUUGUACUAUCUGUUUAAACUUCCCAGAAAUUUGCCCCCAACACUCUCCAAAGACUUCCUGUAUUGCCUGUGUACUGUGGUAUUGGCCUCCCAGCAGAUGUCAGGGUGAUUGAAGUCCCCCAUGAGAACCAGGGCCUGUAAUCUGGAAACUUCUGUUAGCUGUCUGAAGAAAGCUUCAUCCACCUCAUCCUCUCAGUCUGGUAGUCUAUAGCAUAUAUCCACCAUAAUAUCACCCUUGAUGUUCCCCCUCUAACCCUAACCCAGCGAUUUUCAACAGGCCUAUCACCAGUUUCAUAUUGUACCUCUGAGUAAUCAUGCAGCAAUUUUACAUAAAGAGAAACUUCUCCUCUUCUCCGCUGCCUGCCUUUCCUGAACAGUUUAUACCUGUUUAGUUCUACUCAUUUUUGCCUGACUGUCUUUGUUGAAUGUGGCAAUCACUACAAUGUGUAUUUUAGAUCACCUCUUAUUUCUAAGAAACAGUGAUGCCAUUAUUUCAUACUUGUAUAUUUUAUGUGUGCCUAUACCACAAAUCCCAGCUCUAUGGCCUGUGCCGUAACAUGAUGAUUUCUACUGCCAAGCAGCAUGAUUAUAAAAAUGGUGUCUUAAUUAACAGUUCCACUUCACAGUAAAGAAAAGCCUUCAUACAUAAUGAUAUUAUAAUAUCAACUAAAAUUCAUAAAUCACACACAGAUUUCCCCAAAUUAUCAGAUCUUUCCCCUUAUUUUAAGGUUUCUGAACUCAUAGCAAGCAUCCCUGAGACAUCUCAGAAGUUUUCCAGAAGAACUAGGGAGAACCUUGUUUGAAAAACACUUGCCCACCUGCCUACUUUUGGGAGUAUCAUGAGAGAAGUUUCAAGCUGUCCUUAUGCACAAGCCCAAUUUAACAAACCAUUAAAAUGAAUGGGGCAGUUCACAGCUCUCAGAGCUGACACCUGCUGUUUGGAGGUUAGAACUACAACACUAGAUCAGUUUGUAUUUUCAGAGUUUUCUUCGCAUUAAUAAAGUACAGAGUUCUGCAGCUAUACUUUUUAGCCAUGCAAAUUUCAUUGUUCAUGAAGGAAAAUGGCAACCUUAACAGAGGAAUGUUCCAAUUCAUAAGCAUGCCAUCUAGCAGUGUUUUGUAAUUUCUAUAAAUAUUUCAGAGGGAGAAAGUGUCCCUUCAGUUGUCAGCCUUUAGGGGCAACUCAGAUGGCUUUCUACAGGAGGGUGGAAGAAGUGAGCUGGGUGUGGCAGAUCCACUGGUAUUCUAAUGCAGUGAUUCUCAACCAUUUUUAUACUAGGACCCAUUUGUAAACAUCGAUGGCCAGUCCUGGCCCAGUGCCCCUCACUCCUGACCCACUGCCCCCCAUCCCCAGGCUGCAGCCCCUCAGUGUGGAGGGCAGGGGGUGGGUAUAUGGGGCAGGGAGCCACGUGUGUGGUGCAGGGGGGGCACAAAGCAACCUAUUACAAUCUGGAACUGGAAGGGAAAAGCCACAGGUUCCCACGCUUUUCUCCUUUAAAGGAGAAUCCAUUUUAAAAGUUUGUUUGCAACCCUUUCAAAUAUUCUUGCAACCCACUUUCAGGGGUUUGUGAUGCACAGAUUGAGAAAUGCUGUUCUAAUGCAUGGGCUGAUACCCCUGACAGUCAAUCUUGGCCUGUUUUUUCACUCUGGUGUCCUGGUGGCCUCCCUGGUCACCCUCACCUAUCACACCUUGGUCUUGUGUAGUAAUUUGGGAGGAGUCAGCCCUCAGUUCUGCCAAAGUGACAGUUCAGGUGCUUUUCUCAACACUUCUCAUCACUGAGCUUUUGAAAGUCUGGCCCAAUCAGUAUUAUUUCUUGUGAACCCCACAGUGGGUGCAUCUAUACAAGAUGCUUAACUGCGCAGUAACAUAAUUAACUGUGCAGUAAACACACAUGUCUACAUGUGCACACUCUUACUGCAUAGUAAAAACCCCUAAUCAUGAGUAAAUUUGAUACACUUAAAUGCAGGUAUCAAAUUUACUCAUGAUUAGUUACUGUGCAGUAAUGGUCGUGUAAACAUGACCUAGGAGCAAAUUUGUUCCCAGGUCAGCCCUGCCACUAGUGGGCCAACCUGAGGCUAGCACCAGGGCUCCAGGCUGGGCUGCUUCUAUGGCAGCCCUUGCCUCAGGCCUUUAAAAUCCUGCAGGCAUUUUAAGUCCUGGGACACACCAGAAGGGAAGCUGAGGGCACUCCAAGCCCCUGUGUCCCCCUGGGCAGGCCACAGGCCAGCUGUUCCAACCUGUCUGAACCCCAGUGCCGCUGCCUGGCACCGCAGUGCCACGUGCCUGCCAGGCCUGCACCAUCCAGGCCUGCCAGCUGCUCCAGGCUGCUGCAGCCUGUUGCAGGCACCAGCCAGGCCUGCCAGCCCCCAGUCCAGCUGUAGGCAGCUUCUGGCUGCUGGGGCCAGCUCCAUCUUCCCGCAGCCCAAACCCAACAGCCUGUCCUGAGCCUGCAGGUGCUUCAGGGCAUUGUCUCUACCAUGCAUCUGCCAGUCCCACACUGGGCCCCUGUGCUGGGUACUGCUGGCAGAUGCCCAGACCCAGCAGCACAGGGAGAGCUGUGUGGAGGCCCAGAGAGCCAGCACAGGACCCACAAUGGCUUCAUUAUCACCAACACCCAUGAUUACGUCCAUGAUCACCACCUGGAGCCCCAACUGGUUGCAGGAGGAGACAAGCAACCUCAUGGUGCUUUGGGGUGAAGUGAAGGUGCAGCACCAGUUUGAGUGGGGUAGGUACUCCGAUGCCCACAUCAUUGAGGGGCUGUCAGCCCAGAUGCGGGAGCAUGGUCAAAAUGGGUCAGCAUGGCAGUGCUGCAUAAAGGACAGGGCCUUGUGGGCACAGUAGGUGGCCAUCACCAACCACAAUCAUCGGAUGGGGACUGCUUGUAAAUCUAUGCCCUUUAUGCAGCAACUGAAGGAUAUCCUUAUGCUCCAGGAUACAGGCUGCAGCUGUGCUGUCUACAGAAGCAUGGGUGGCCUGCCUAAGCCCCUGCCCUGGCCUGGCAUCUGCAUUGACACAUCACAGGGAGAGGCCCCCUCGGACAUCCAGCAGCCCGUUCCACCGAGCUCCCAAGCUGCACACUCCACCAGCAACUUGGGGAGCCUAAGCCAGCACCUGCCAUCUCAGUUCUGCAGCCAUAGCUCCAGCCCCCACCAUCAGGAAUGGCUGGCCAUGACACUGCCAGCUGCCAGCAGCACCAACUCCUCCCCAGGGGGGCCCCCAGCUGGGUGCCUGCCUACUGUGCCCUGCCAUCUGAGGACACCCCCUGGAGCCACAUCCUAGUGCCAACAGCCGUGACUGCAUGGAGCCACCAACCACGCCAGCCCCAUGGUAAGCCCCACACUGGGAAGAGGGCCAUCUCCAGCCCAGGCCCUGACCCUGCCCCCAGCUCCUGCCCCCCACUCCCUGCCUGGCCCGCUUCCACUCCUUUGGCCCUGGAUACCCUCCCACAGCAUGCAGAGAGAUGGGAGACAGUGCAAGACUUUACUGAGCAGCCCGUGUCCCAACAGCUAUGUGACCACAGGCCUCUCACAUGCCAGGGAACAUGUUGAUGCUGGCAGUGAUGUCCUUCUUGACUGCAGGGGUCAGGGAUGUGUAGCUCAGCCACAGGUAGCCCUCCAGGCAGUGGCAGAAGUUGCAGGGCAGCCUGGGCUUGUCACCCAAGCCAUUGAAGCUCAGGGUCCUGUGCCAGGUGCACAGGUGCACUUGAGGCACCAUGGCCAUCAACAGCAGUAGGGUGUAGUGGGUUGGGAAGCCCUUGGUCUGUACAAAUAGCUCCUCGUGCACCACCUGGGGCAUGCACAGCAGAGGAUCACUCAGGGCACAGUGGCAACACAAGGGGGGCAGGCACCAGGGCACCUCCCCAGACAAGACCCCUGUGAGGAGGGUGGGAGCAUGGACAGCUCCUCAUCCCAGUUGUCCAGGAGCCCCAUGCCCUGUGGACUGGGCAGCAGCACAGCAGAGCUGUUGGCCUGCAUGAGGAGGAGAGGGCAAGUGGGAUCUGGAGUUGCAACAGCAGGUGCUGGCAGAAGCCUGGCCUGUCCUGGCCUAGGAACAGGGUAGGGAAGGCAGGCUGCCUGAAGCCAGCUCCCAGCAGCCCACCAGCCCCAGGGAAGUGAAUGGGGCUCAGGGGCUUGGCCAGUGCCUGUCUGGGCUCGUGUCUGCUGGGUCAACUUAGCAUGGUCCCUGGGUGCCCACACAUGCCCAACUCCUGAUCUGAGGCAGGGCAGUGCAUGGCCCCUAGUACAGAGCAUCUUAUCUCUGAAAUGUAGCAAACUCACACAAACAGCUUGUUUCUCAUGGCUUGACAGGGCCUGCAGCUGCAUACAGGGAAGAGGUUGCACUUGACAGCCAGCAUGCAGCCUCAGUGUCACUGCCACCCACAGCCAAGGCCUUGUGGAUGUGACAGCUCUUCCAGAGCAGGACCCUGGACAGGACCCUCCUCCUGGACCACCUGGUCAUGGCAUGAGAGGACCAGCUGGUGGAUGGUCAGGCCUGGCAAGCAGAGGUCAUGGCCCACCAGGAUGGGUAGCAGACAGAGGACAUCACCUUCUAGGGUACACUGGACCAGCACAAGGUGGUGCGGGACUGGUGUGAAGGGGUGCGGGACCAAGGAGAUAGGGAGUUCUGGGUGCUGCUCAUGAGCAGAUAGAGGUGCUGUGGAAACAGAAUACCAUCUUGGCCCAGGCAGUGCAGGCCAUGGAUGAUGAGCACCGAGUGCUGUACACUAUUCUGGUCCUGGCAGUUGUCUUCAUGCUGUCUACUGCCCAGACCUGGUGGGACUCCACCCAUGACUGGGCCACAGGUGUAGACAGCUAUAACCUGUACAGGAGGGAUUGAGUGGACAAAAGGGGCGGAGGUGUAGCUCUCCAUGUCAAGGAAAGCUAUGCAUCCCUGCAAGCUGACAUUGGCACCCACGGUGGACUUGAGACCCUCUGGGUUAAAAUCCGUGGGGAACAUGACACAGGGGAUACUAUGGUGGGAGUCUACUACAGACCCCCUACCCAGGGUCAAGACCUUGACCAGGAGUUUGCCAGGGAAUUGGCUGAGGCCUCGUGCUCCCAGUGUAUGGUUGUCAUGGGAGACUUUAACUACCCAGACGUCUCAUGGGAGGAGCGCUCAGCCAAAUCUGAGUGGUCGCAAAGCUUCCUCUCAUGUGUGGAUGGCCUCUAUCUGACACAGGAAGUCUACAGGCCGAUGAGAGGUAAAGUGCUGCUCGACCUGGUCCUGGAAACUGGGGACGACCUAAUCAGUGACCUAAUGAUUGAAGGGCAGCUGGGCGACAGUGACCACGAGCUGAUAAACUUCACCAUCUGCCGUAAAGCUGGCAAGUCAGUCAGUAAUACAGAAGUCCUCAACUUCAGGAAAGCUGACUUUGACAAGCUCAGGAGGCUUGUCAGUGAGGCCCUAAAGGGCCACAACCCAAAGGGGAGGGAGUUCAGGACGAGUGGUUGCUCCUCAAGGGAGUGAUCCUGGAUGCACAAGCAAAGUCUAUCCCAUCUCAGAGGAAAGGCAGCAAAAGUGCACAGCAGCCCCCUUUGCUCUCCAGGGAACUAGCAGACCUCCUGCAUCUUAAAAGGAAGACCUACAAAGGAUGGAGGACUGGAACCACCACCAAGGAGGAAUACUCUGCUCUGGUCUGGACCUGCAGAGAGCAAACUAGGAAAGCCAAGGCUGCAAUGGAACUCCAGCUAGCUACAAAUAUCAAGGACAAUAAAAAGUCCUUCUUUAGAUAUGUGGGGAGCCGGAGGAAAAGCAAGGGCAACAUUGGACCCCUGCUAAACCUGAUGCGAUAACUAACAACUGAUGCCCAGGAAAAAGCAAACUUGCUAAAUGGGUACUUUGCGUCAGUUUUUCACCAGUUCCAUGGGACGCCCCUGCCCACUGAGGGACAGGGAGGCCCAGAUGAGGGAGAUUCCUUACCAUCCAUCACUGCUGACCUCAUGAAGGAACACCUUGACAGGCUGGAUACCUUCAAGUCAGCCAGCCCUGAUGGUUUACAUCCAAGGGUACUCAAAGAGCUGGCAAGCAUCAUAGCUCAGCCCCUGGUAUGGAUCUUUGAGAGCUCCUGGUGCUCUGGUGAAGUGUCCAAUGAUUGGAAGAAGGCCAAUAUGGUGCCUAUCUUCAAAAAAGGGAGGAAAGUAGAUCCAGCAAACUACAGACCCAUUAGCCUGACCUCUAUCCUGGGGACGGUCUUGGAAAAGAUUAUGAAAGAGGCCAUCCUAUACAGGCUAGCUGAUGGGAAUAUCCUGAGGGAUACCCAGCAUGGGUUUGUUGUAGGUAGGUCUUGCUUGACCAAUCUCGUUUCCUUUUAUGACCAGGUGACCUAUCACCUGGACAAGGGCAAAGAGAUUGAUGUCAUAUAUCUUGACUUUAAAAAAAGCCUUCGAUCUGGUAUCCCAUGAUACCUCUUGGCAAAACUGGCUAACUGCGGCCUUGACCUCACCACGAUCUGCUGGCUGGAGAAUUGGCUCCAUGGCAGGACCCAGAGGGUGGUGGCUGAUGGAAGUCAGUCGUCGUGAUGUGCUGUGAUCAGUGGGAUCCCUCAAGGCUCUUUCCUAGGGCCUUUAUUUUUUAACAUCUUCAGCAAUGAUGUGGACACUGGUGUCAGAAGCGAGCUGGCCAAGUUCGCCAACAACACCAAACUCUGUGGUAAAGCAACCACACCUGAGGACAGGAGGGUGAUCCAGGCUGACUUGACAGGCUCAAGAAAUGGGUGGAUGAGAACCUGAUGGUGUUUAACACUGAAAAAUGCAAGGUUGUCCACCUUGGGAGGAAAAACGUGCAGCAUCCUUAUAGGCUCUGCAGUGCUACACUGGUUAGCACUACAGGUGAAAGGGACUUGGGGGUCAUGAGUGACCACAAGAUGAACAUGAGCCUUCAAUGUGAUGCUGCAGCCAGUAAAGCGAGCAAAACGCUGGCUUGCAUCCAUAGAUGCUUCUCAAGCAAAUCCUGGGACGUCAUUCUCCUGUUGUACUCAGCCUUGGUGGGGCCACAGCUGGAGUACUGCGUCCAGUUUUGGGCUCCACAAUUCAAAAAGGAUGUGGAGAAGCUUGAGAGAGUGCAGAGGAGAGCCAUGCACAUGAUCAGAGGUCAGGAAAACAGACCUUAUGAUGAGAGGCUGAGAGCCAUGGGACUCUUCAGCCUGGAAAAGCGUAGGCUUAGGGAUGAUCUGGUGGCCACCUAUACGUUUAUUAGGGGUGUUCACCAGGAUCUGGGGGAACGCCUGUUCACCAGAGCACCCCAAGAGAUGACAAGAUCAAACAGUCAUAAACUCCUCCAUGACCGUUUCAGGCUGGACAUAAGGAAGAACUUCUUCACUGUCCGAGCCCCCAAGGUUUGAAAUAGACUGCUGCCGGAGGUGGUUCAAGCACCCACUUUGAACGCCUCCAAGAAACUUUUGGAUGUUUAUCUUGCUGGGAUCCUAUGAUCCCUGCUGACUUCCUGCCCCUGGGCAGGGGGCUGGACUUGAUGAUCCUCUGGGGUCCCUUCCAGCCCAAAUGUCUAUGAAAUCUAUGAAAUCUUAACUUCAUUAUUCCUUAUUAUGUCACCACCUGGCAAAGCAUUUAUGAGAUCUCUUACUUCAGAAAUUGUGAAACCAUAACCAUCUUUUAAAAUAGGCCUCACAAUUUCAUUUGCUUUCUCAAAAGCUGUAUCCUUAAGAGAUGGUGAUUUCUGGGUAACAGACUGCUUAAAAGUGUUGUCAUAUUUCUUCAGGUAUAUUUCCAGGCAUACUUUGUGAUAAAGUAAAUCUGCUCCAAACACUUGGGAUUCUGAUUCCAGGUCUGCAACUCAAGGGAAGAUAUCAUCCUGGAGAUGAAGAGCAGCUGCCAAAAAUUUGGAAGCCCUUUGUGUUUCACAGAUGCCGAACUUAUCUCUUAUUUAGUUAUGGCUUUGCUGGCUGCAUAUAACACAAGGUCGAUUUGCCAAUGAUUUAUAUGAGGAUGGAGGGUGCUCUUGGUUGCAUGUAAAGAGCAGGUUUUUCAUUGUAUCUCCUCUUCAGAAGAACAGUUACUGGUAGGUUGACGGUCUCUGUCUUCUGAGCACAAGGUGGCUUUCUGUAGACCUUUUUUUCAAUGUAUAUUGCUUAUAACACUGGUUAUUUACAUGGUACACAAAUUCAGUAUCGGUCAACACUUGUCUCAGUCUUUGACAAAAUCAUUCCUAAUCUCUGCUACUUCCAUGAUUUAUUUUCUUCCAUUUGAAGUUGUAGUCGUUUUUUUGAUCAUAUUUGGCCUGAUAGAUAAUGCACUUGUUUGAAUCAACAUGACAUUCUUCUUAUGACUUCACAGAAAUUGCAGUUCGUCUCACUGUAUUUCAAUCAGACUUCAACCUGAAAAACAGAGGACAAAAACAGUUACUUGUGAGUUUGGCUGCAAACAUAACAAAACGACUCAACAAAAAACAUUAAACCCAUUAAACUACAGUAACAGUAACUAGUCAUUAAAAUAAUACAUAGUAAAUAAAAGAGUACACAAUAAAUUGAGCAGUUCAAUAACUUUUAUUUAUUUAUUUAUUAAAAUAAGACAGUAGAAAACUCACACAUAUGACAAACUCAAUAAUUAUUUUUGUAGGGCAAUAUAAGGUACCAAUUUUUUUCAAUUACAUGGAUGUGGAACUUGGGAACCUACUUUCUUUUGUCACUAUGACAUUGGAAACAUCUUUAUUGGACUACUUGACCUUGAAAACAUUGGGUUAAACACCAAGAUUACUUUGUAUCAUACUUAGAAGAGAAAACACCAGUCACCAAAGAGUGAUUGUUGCCAUGUUCAACAGUGGCAGAUUAAGAUUUAUCAGGGCCCUGGGUGAACAGAAAAUUAUAAACAUGAAUGUAUCAAAAAAUUAAUAAAUAGACCCAUUAAAUGUGGUGCAUUAAUAAAUGAAGCACAACACAUGAUGUCGAAAUUGACUACUCAAUUUUGCCACACACAAAACUGAAUAAAACAACUGCCUUAGGAAAAUGACUCAAAUGCAUGGGAUCACAAUAAAUAUAUAAUAGCAUGAAAGGAAAGAUAUUUUAGUCUAGUAGCCAUGUAAACUCUUCUUUGACUAUUUUUUUAAAUAGAUAUUUUACUACGGUAAACUGCUUGUAGAAAAAUACAGGCCAUACCUAUAGCCUCAAGUAUGAGUCUAAGAUUGUCUGUAGAUGACACAGGCAGUAAUGUAGAGUGCCUGAAAAUUUUAACGUGGCAUUUUUUUUGUGGGGUGCGUUUGUGUUUGCAUGACACAGCAUUCGUGUUUGCAUGAAUGGCACUUUUGAGUGAAUUUAGCCUCAUGUGCUAUUCCCUGAAGAUUUCAGUAGGGGGAGUCAAAUACCAAUUCACCCCCUGUAAUGUCUUCCCUAAUGUAUUACAGCAGGAGGCGCAUGUAAACCACCUGGCCUCCCCAGUCCCUGCUUCCGGACUCUCACUGGACAGUCCUGACUCUCACUGGGAGUCUCCCCUGGCACGGUCAUGGUCACCCCAAAACCUUGUCACUUUCACUCACCUAUCCUUGGUUGGUAUGGUCUCUCUCUGUCAGUACAUGACACUUACAGGUAAUGACUUCACAAUCUUUGGAAUUUUCCCAGACCCUCAUCAAGCACAGCCUGAGUAUAAAGGUCCCCCCCCCCCACCCCACCCCCCAAAUUUUUCCAGCCCCCUUUCACAAAUCACUUGUGCUGUUGACCACAAACUGCUUCACCAUGUCUCAGAAAGCCAAGGCCAGCAGUAUGAAGCUGAUGGCCCAGGAAGCUGAUACCUCCAAUGCCCAUGGACCCAACUGGACCCUGGAAGAACUGGAGGACUUCAUCUAUAUUUGGUCGGAGGAAAGGAUCAUAGACAGGUUGGAAAGUAGGAGGAAUAAGCCUAUUUCAUUUGAGUCACAAAAGACAUGCAGGCGCAUGGGCACAAUCAUGACUGGACCCAGGUCUGGUGCAAGACCAAGUCCCUGAGAUCAGCAUUUUACAGAGCCAAAGAUGCAAACUCUCCUUCUGAGGCAGGUCACACAACUGCUCCCUUCUACAACAAGCUGUUCAUCAUUCUCUCCAAGGAUGCAGGCGACAACCCAGGUAUGGAGACUUUCAGUGUAGCAGAAAGUCCCCUUUUCCUCUUGCCUGCAUUUGCUCUCCCCUCUUUAAAUAUGUUUUUCCUCUUCUACCUUUUAUUCCUUCCUCUUUCUUUCACUUUAAGAUAAGGAAUUGUGUUUUAAAAUGUGUAUGUGAACAUUUUGUAUUUCCCUGUAUAUUUUGGUAUUUUUAUCUA